UGAACGCUGGCGGCGUGCCUAAUACAUGCAAGUCGAGCGAACAGAUAAGGAGCUUGCUCCUUUGAAGUUAGCGGCGGACGGGUGAGUAACACGUGGGUAACCUACCUAUAAGACUGGGAUAACUUCGGGAAACCGGAGCUAAUACCGGAUAACAUUUAGAACCGCAUGGUUCUAAAGUGAAAGAUGGUUUUGCUAUCACUUAUAGAUGGACCCGCGCCGUAUUAGCUAGUUGGUAAGGUAACGGCUUACCAAGGCGACGAUACGUAGCCGACCUGAGAGGGUGAUCGGCCACACUGGAACUGAGACACGGUCCAGACUCCUACGGGAGGCAGCAGUAGGGAAUCUUCCGCAAUGGGCGAAAGCCUGACGGAGCAACGCCGCGUGAGUGAUGAAGGGUUUCGGCUCGUAAAACUCUGUUAUUAGGGAAGAACAAAUGUGUAAGUAACUGUGCACAUCUUGACGGUACCUAAUCAGAAAGCCACGGCUAACUACGUG
RNAcentral lists this ribosomal RNA (495 nucleotides) under uncultured bacterium. RNAcentral describes it as "partial 16S ribosomal RNA". It matches the Rfam family "Bacterial small subunit ribosomal RNA", at positions 30 to 507 of the family's 1533-position model. The record is from RNAcentral.